GAUGAACGCUGGCGGCGUGCCUAAUACAUGCAAGUCGAGCGAACAGACGAGGAGCUUUCUCCUCUGACUUUAGCGGCGGACGGGUGAGUAACACGUGGAUAACCUACCUAUAAGACUGGGAUAACUUCGGGAAACCGGAGCUAAUACCGGAUAAUAUAUUGAACCGCAUGGUUCAAUAGUGAAAGACGGUUUUGCUGUCACUUAUAGAUGGAUCCGCGCCGCAUUAGCUAGUUGGUAAGGUAACGGCUUACCAAGGCGACGAUGCGUAGCCGACCUGCGAGGGUGACCGGCCACACUGGCCCUGAGACACGGUCCAGACUCCUACGGGAGGCAGCCGUAGGGACUCUUCCGAAAUGGGCGACAGCCUGACGGAGCAACGCCGCGUGAGUGAUGAAGGUCUUCGGCUCGUAAAACUGUGUUAUCAGGGAAGAACAAAUGUGUAAGUAACUAUGCACGUCUUGACGGUCCCUACUCAGAAAGCCACGGCUAGAUACGUG
RNAcentral lists this ribosomal RNA (497 nucleotides) under uncultured bacterium. RNAcentral describes it as "partial 16S ribosomal RNA". It matches the Rfam family "Bacterial small subunit ribosomal RNA", at positions 28 to 507 of the family's 1533-position model. The record is from RNAcentral.